GACGUAGGGCGCGAGCGUUGUCCGGAUUUAUUGGGCGUAAAGAGCUCGUAGGCGGCUUGUCGCGUCGACUGUGAAAACCCGAGGCUCAACUUCGGGCUUGCAGUCGAUACGGGCAGGCUAGAGUUCGGUAGGGGAGACUGGAAUUCCUGGUGUAGCGGUGAAAUGCGCAGAUAUCAGGAGGAACACCGAUGGCGAAGGCAGGUCUCUGGGCCGAUACUGACGCUGAGGAGCGAAAGCGUGGGGAGCGAGCAGG
Molecule: ribosomal RNA, 253 nt
Filed under: uncultured bacterium
Lineage: Bacteria
Description: partial 16S ribosomal RNA
Rfam family: Bacterial small subunit ribosomal RNA
Source: RNAcentral